CCUACGGGAGGCAGCAGUGGGGAAUAUUGCACAAUGGGCGCAAGCCUGAUGCAGCGACGCCGCGUGCGGGAUGGAGGCCUUCGGGUUGUAAACCGCUUUUGUUCAAGGGCAAGGCACGGUCUUUGGCCGUGUUGAGUGGAUUGUUCGAAUAAGCACCGGCUAACUACGUGCCAGCAGCCGCGGUAAU
Molecule: ribosomal RNA, 187 nt
Filed under: uncultured bacterium
Lineage: Bacteria
Description: partial 16S ribosomal RNA
Rfam family: Bacterial small subunit ribosomal RNA
Source: RNAcentral